Molecule: ribosomal RNA, 252 nt
Filed under: uncultured prokaryote
Description: partial 16S rRNA
Rfam family: Bacterial small subunit ribosomal RNA
Source: RNAcentral
ACGGAGGGGGCAAGCGUUGUUCGGGAUUACUGGGCGUAAAGAGUGCGUAGGCGGCCGUGUAAGUCUGGUGUGAAAUCUUCACCGCUCAACGGGAAGAGGUCACUGGAAACUGCGCGGCUUGAGGGUGGGAGAGGCAAGCGGAAUUCCUGGUGUAGGGGUGGAAUGUGUAGAUAUCUGGAGGAACACCGGUGGCGAAGGCGGCUUCCUGGGCCGUUACUGACGCUGAGGUGCGAAAGCGUGGGGAUCAAACAG